This 495-nucleotide ribosomal RNA is filed under the name uncultured bacterium. RNAcentral's name for it is "partial 16S ribosomal RNA". It matches the Rfam family "Bacterial small subunit ribosomal RNA", at positions 28 to 507 of the family's 1533-position model. The record is from RNAcentral.
GACGAACGCUGGCGGCGUGCCUAAUACAUGCAAGUCGAACGCUGAAGGAGGAGCUUGCUUCUCUGGAUGAGUUGCGAACGGGUGAGUAACGCGUAGGUAACCUGCCUGGUAGCGGGGGAUAACUAUUGGAAACGAUAGCUAAUACCGCAUAAUAGUAGAUGUUGCAUGACAUUUGCUUAAAAGGUGCAAUUGCAUCACUACCAGAUGGACCUGCGUUGUAUUAGCUAGUUGGUGAGGUAACGGCUCACCAAGGCAACGAUACAUAGCCGACCUGAGAGGGGGAUCGGCCACACUGGGACUGAGACACGGCCCAGACUCCUACGGGAGGCAGCAGUAGGGAAUCUUCGGCAAUGGACGGAAGUCUGACCGAGCAACGCCGCGUGAGUGAAGAAGGUUGUCGGAUCGUAAAGCUCUGUUGUAAGAGAAGAACGAGUGUGAGAGUGGAAAGUUCACACUGUGACGGUAGCUUACCAGAAAGGGACGGCUAACUACGUG